GGCCCCGUGGCGGAACCGGCAGACGCGGGGGACUUAAACUCCCCUGCCCGCAAGGGCGUCCGGGUUCGACUCCCGGCGGGGCCA
Molecule: transfer RNA, 84 nt
Filed under: Planctomycetota bacterium
Lineage: Bacteria; Pseudomonadati; Planctomycetota
Description: Planctomycetes bacterium (activated sludge metagenome) tRNA-Leu
Rfam family: tRNA
About the family: Transfer RNA (tRNA) molecules are approximately 80 nucleotides in length.
Source: RNAcentral